GGCCGCGGGAAUUCGAUUCAGGCCUAACACAUGCAAGUCGAGCGGUAAGGCCUUUCGGGGUACACGAGCGGCGAACGGGUGAGUAACACGUGGGUGAUCUGCCCUGCACUCUGGGAUAAGCUUGGGAAACUGGGUCUAAUACCGGAUAUGACCGCAUGCCGCAUGGUGUGUGGUGGAAAGAUUUAUCGGUGCAGGAUGGGCCCGCGGCCUAUCAGCUUGUUGGUGGGGUAAUGGCCUACCAAGGCGACGACGGGUAGCCGACCUGAGAGGGUGACCGGCCACACUGGGACUGAGACACGGCCCAGACUCCUACGGGAGGCAGCAGUGGGGAAUAUUGCACAAUAGGCGGAAGCCUGAUGCAGCGACGCCGCGUGAGGGAUGAAAGGGUUCGGGUUGUAAACCUCUUUCAGCAGGGACGAAGCGUGAGUGACGGUACCUGCAGAAGA
Molecule: ribosomal RNA, 446 nt
Filed under: uncultured bacterium
Lineage: Bacteria
Description: bacterial SSU rRNA
Rfam family: Bacterial small subunit ribosomal RNA
Source: RNAcentral